RNAcentral lists this ribosomal RNA (301 nucleotides) under uncultured bacterium. Its description in RNAcentral is "partial 16S ribosomal RNA". It matches the Rfam family "Bacterial small subunit ribosomal RNA", at positions 509 to 807 of the family's 1533-position model. The record is from RNAcentral.
CAGCAGCCGCGGGAAUACGAAGGGUGCAAGCGUUAAUCGGAAUUACUGGGCGUAAAGCGUGCGUAGGCGGUUUGUUAAGUCUGCUGUGAAAUCCCCGGGCUCAACCUGGGAAUGGCAGUGGAUACUGGCAAGCUAGAGUGUGUCAGAGGAUGGUGGAAUUCCCGGUGUAGCGGUGAAAUGCGUAGAGAUCGGGAGGAACAUCAGUGGCGAAGGCGGCCAUCUGGGACAACACUGACGCUGAGGCACGAAAGCGUGGGGAGCAAACAGGAUUAGAGACCCCUGUAGUCCCUGUCUCUUAUAC